AUACUUUUCUGACACGGGAGACCCCAGGAUCAUGAUGGUGGUUUACCCAGGGCGAGGCUGAGCCUUUGCCCUCCAAAUGUGCUGACCCCUGCAAUUUUCCCAAAUGUGGAAAACUCGAAUGCAUAAUUUGUGAUAGUGGGGGACUGCAUUCACACUCUUU
RNAcentral lists this small nuclear RNA (160 nucleotides) under Sorex araneus (European shrew). Its description in RNAcentral is "U1 spliceosomal RNA (ENSSARG00000016743.1)". It matches the Rfam family "U1 spliceosomal RNA". From Rfam's summary of the family: U1 is a small nuclear RNA (snRNA) component of the spliceosome (involved in pre-mRNA splicing). Its 5' end forms complementary base pairs with the 5' splice junction, thus defining the 5' donor site of an intron. Lineage: Eukaryota; Metazoa; Chordata; Mammalia; Eulipotyphla; Soricidae. The record is from RNAcentral.